GAUGAAGAACGUAGCGAAAUGCGAUAAGUAAUGUGAAUUGCAGAAUUCAGUGAAUCAUCGAAUCUUUGAACGCACCUUGCGCUCCUUGGUAUUCCGAGGAGCAUGCCUGUUUGAGUGUCAUUAAAUUCUCAACCAUUAUCAACUUUUGCUGAUAAUGGCUUGGAUGUGGGGGGCUAUUUUGCUGGCUUCUCAGAUAGUCAGCUCCCCUUAAAUGCAUUAGCCGGUGCCCCGCGUGGACUGUCUAUUGGUGUGAUAAUUAUCUACGCUAUAGACAUCUGCAAUCAUAUGGGUUUGCGCUGCUUCUAACAGUCUGUUGAUUCAGACAAUACAUGACAAUUUGACCUCAAAUCAGGUAGGACUACCCGCUGAACUUAAGCAUAUCAAUAAGCGGAGGA
This 395-nucleotide unclassified non-coding RNA is filed under the name soil metagenome. RNAcentral's name for it is "partial contains 5.8S ribosomal RNA, internal transcribed spacer 2, and large subunit ribosomal RNA". The stretch from base 1 to 120 matches the Rfam family "5.8S ribosomal RNA", at positions 35 to 154 of the family's 154-position model. The record is from RNAcentral.